Long non-coding RNA from Oncorhynchus gorbuscha (pink salmon), 1078 nucleotides. RefSeq lists it as uncharacterized. NCBI's taxonomy places the organism in Eukaryota, Metazoa, Chordata, Actinopteri, Salmoniformes, Salmonidae. The record is from RefSeq and is a predicted model, not a curated record. The transcript has 3 exons.
GAGCUGAGCUGCACACCCUGGUCACACACUAAGCAAACUCUCCCCAGGUGUGCACGUAGAGCCGACCCUCCGUCAGCAUCCUGUCAUGCACAAGAUGUUUAUCCAAUUUGUCAAGAUAAUCUUUCCUCAAACAAGCGCUGGGCCCAGUCCCCGGGACACACUGACUGGCUGGCUGCUGGGCCUGAAAUGCAACCCUGGCCUCCAUCUCUCUGCAUCAACUCCAUUCUGCCUCGCAGGAAACCAAGGCUUACUGCUGCUAGUUUGGACACACAUAGACCUCCCUGGCUUGUGAUAGCCUGCUGUCCUGAAAAGAGUGAUGAAUGCAUCUGUCUGUCUGGACGAGAAACUCCCAGACACAUAUUCACCUCCACCUUCUGUCUGUCUGAGCAGACACCCGGCCCAUCCAGGCAGGCAGGCCCGGAGCAGCGCGACGAGUGGCCCACGUGGAGGGGAGUGCUGCUGUGCUGCAAAAGCUUCAGACAGCCCAGAAGUGGGACUAGUCCAGCCAGUUACUCACUGGAGCUUUAGCAGCAGACCAGGACCAAACAAGAGACAUUGCCACAGAACACCCACCCACUGGCUGCCAUUGUAUCACAGGGGGCCCACUAUCUGGCCUGUGUGUUUUUGCAUGCAAUCGCUUUAUCUGGAUACCACCAUGCUCGAUGCAGGCUCAUGAAACGACUAUAAUGACAAGAUGCUACAAGACGUACAGUACCACAGACAGUGUUCCUCCAGUCAAGCCCUGGGUUCACUCCUCUACAGUUAACACAGUGUUUAUCCCCCUUUCAUUGUGUCAAUUACAGUGUCAGUCACUCAUCAGAGAAACAGAUCAGCUGCGUGCUUAGCAUGCAUUCCAGCAGACUCAUCUGAGCACUAAAAUCCUUCUGCCAUCUUUCUGUGACCCAAUGACACAGCUGGAUCCAUUUCAAGAACAAGAGAGGUAAGGUGUCUUAAGGCAAGGAGACAGUAGCUGGGUGAGGGAUCCACCUUGUAGUCUAUAGCAACCCCAUCCGUCUUCCUCCAGGCCUGAGACCUGAACACUAUGACUACCUGUCACAUCACCGUAUUCUCAUGGACU